GACGUAGGGUGCAAGCGUUAUCCGGAUUUACUGGGCGUAAAGAGCGCGUAGGCGGAUCGUUAAGUGUGAAGUGAAAUCUUCGGGCUCAACCCGAAAACUGCUUCGCAUACUGGCGAUCUUGAGGGGCACAGAGGCAACUGGAAUUCCUGGUGAAGCGGUGAAAUGCGUAGAUAUCAGGAGGAACUCCCAUGGCGAAGGCAGGUUGCUGGGCUGACACUGACGCUGAGGCGCGAAAGCUAGGGGAGCAAACAGG
This 253-nucleotide ribosomal RNA is filed under the name uncultured bacterium. RNAcentral's name for it is "partial 16S ribosomal RNA". It matches the Rfam family "Bacterial small subunit ribosomal RNA", at positions 524 to 776 of the family's 1533-position model. The record is from RNAcentral.